GGGGCGGUAGCUCAGCGGAAGAGCAGCAGACUUUUAAUCUGUCGAGCGUGGGUUCGAGUCCCACCCGCCUCA
RNAcentral lists this transfer RNA (72 nucleotides) under Chloroflexota bacterium. RNAcentral describes it as "Chloroflexi bacterium (hot springs metagenome) tRNA-Lys". It matches the Rfam family "tRNA". From Rfam's summary of the family: Transfer RNA (tRNA) molecules are approximately 80 nucleotides in length. Their secondary structure includes four short double-helical elements and three loops (D, anti-codon, and T loops). Further hydrogen bonds mediate the characteristic L-shaped molecular structure. tRNAs have two regions of fundamental functional importance: the anti-codon, which is responsible for specific mRNA codon recognition, and the 3' end, to which the tRNAs corresponding amino acid is attached (by aminoacyl-tRNA synthetases). tRNAs cope with the degeneracy of the genetic code in two manners: having more than one tRNA (with a specific anti-codon) for a particular amino acid; and 'wobble' base-pairing, i.e. permitting non-standard base-pairing at the 3rd anti-codon position. The record is from RNAcentral. Lineage: Bacteria; Bacillati; Chloroflexota.